GAGACUGGGGGGCUUGAUGGCACCAGAGGGGAGCGGAAUUCCCGGUGUAACGGUGAAAUGCGUAGAUAUCGGGAGUGAACACCAGUGGCGAAGGCGGCUCUCUGGGGUGCAACGUGACGCUGAGGCGCGAAAGCUAGGGGAGCAACCGGGAUUAGAUACCCCGGUAGUCCUAGCCGUAAACGAUGGGUACUAGGUGUGGGAGGUAUCGACCCCUUCCGUGCCGGAGUUAACACAAUAAGUACCCCGCCUGGGGAGUACGGCCGCAAGGUCGAAACUCAAAGGAAUUGACGGGGUGCCCGCACAAGCAGUGGAGCAUGUGGUUUAAUUCGACGCAACGCGCAGAAACUUACCAGGGUUUGACAUCCCCUGACGGCUGUAGAGAUACAGCGUUCUAGCCCGAAAGGGCUAGACAGGGAGACAGGUGGUGCAUGGUUGUCGUCAGCUCGUGUCGUGAGAUGUUGGGUAAAGUCCCGCAACGAGCGCAAACCCUGUCCCUAGUUGCCAGCGGGUAAAGCCGGGCACUCUAGGGAGACUGCCGGAGAGAAUUCGGAGGAAGGUGGGGAUGACGUCAAAUCAUCAUGCCCUUUAUAUCCUGGGCCACACACGUGCUACAAUGGCCAGGGACAGAGGGAAGCGAAGGGGUGACCCGGAGCAAAUCCCAAAAAACUGGUCUCAGUUGGGAUCGUAGGCUGCAACUCGCCUACAUGAACGCGGAAUUGCUAGUAAUCGCGGAUCAGCACGCCGCGGUGAAUACGUUCCCGGGCCUUGUACACACCGCCCGUCACACCACGAGAGCUGGCAACACCCGAAGCCGGUGAACCAA
This 823-nucleotide ribosomal RNA is filed under the name uncultured Bacillota bacterium. RNAcentral's name for it is "bacterial SSU rRNA". It matches the Rfam family "Bacterial small subunit ribosomal RNA", at positions 629 to 1438 of the family's 1533-position model. The record is from RNAcentral. Lineage: Bacteria; Bacillati; Bacillota.